GACGAACGCUGGCGGCGUGCUUAACACAUGCAAGUCGAACGGAAAGGCCCUGCUUUUGUGGGUGCUCGAGUGGCGAACGGGUGAGUAACACGUGAGUAACCUGCCCUUGACUUUGGGAUAACUUCAGGAAACUGGGGCUAAUACCGGAUAGGAGCUCCUGCUGCAUGGCGGGGGUUGGAAAGUUUCGGCGGUUGGGGAUGGACUCGCGGCUUAUCAGCUUGUUGGUGGGGUAGUGGCUUACCAAGGCUUUGACGGGUAGCCGGCCUGAGAGGGUGACCGGCCACAUUGGGACUGAGAUACGGCCCAGACUCCUACGGGAGGCAGCAGUGGGGAAUAUUGCACAAUGGGCGGAAGCCUGAUGCAGCAACGCCGCGUGCGGGAUGACGGCCUUCGGGUUGUAAACCGCUUUCGCCUGUGACGAAGCGUGAGUGACGGUAAUGGGUAAAGAAGCACCGGCUAACUACGUG
This 467-nucleotide ribosomal RNA is filed under the name uncultured bacterium. RNAcentral's name for it is "partial 16S ribosomal RNA". It matches the Rfam family "Bacterial small subunit ribosomal RNA", at positions 28 to 507 of the family's 1533-position model. The record is from RNAcentral.